Molecule: non-coding RNA, 146 nt
Filed under: human gut metagenome
Source: RNAcentral
GGUGCUUAAUUGCUUAAAAGGGAAGUCCGGUGUGAUACCGGCGCGGUCCCGCCACUGUAUUAAUGAGUAUCUUUACCUAUGCCACUGGCGAUUGCUGGGAAGGCGUAAAGAUAUGAUGAUUUUAGCCAGGAGACCUACCUGUUUUA